GAGAUAUAGUGGAGGUUAUCAUGGAGACAGGUGGUGCAUGGUUGUCGUCAGCUCGUGUCGUGAGAUGUGGGUUAAGUCCCGCAACGAGCGCAACCCUUAUUGCUAGCUACCAUCAUUAAGUUGGGGGACUCUAGCGAGACUGCCAGUGAUAAACUGGAGGAAGGUGGGGGAUGACGUCAAAUCAUCAUGCCCCUUAUGACCUGGGCUACAAACGUGAUACAAUGGCUGAAACAAAGGGCAGCGAAGCAGUGAUGUGAAGCGAAACCCAAAAAAGCAGUCUCAGUUCGGAUUGAAGUCUGCAACUCGACUUCAUGAAGUCGGAAUCGCUAGUAAUCGCGAAUCAGAACGUCGCGGUGAAUACGUUCUCGGGGUUU
RNAcentral lists this ribosomal RNA (374 nucleotides) under uncultured Acholeplasma sp. Its description in RNAcentral is "bacterial SSU rRNA". It matches the Rfam family "Bacterial small subunit ribosomal RNA", at positions 1003 to 1382 of the family's 1533-position model. The record is from RNAcentral. Lineage: Bacteria; Bacillati; Mycoplasmatota; Mollicutes; Acholeplasmatales; Acholeplasmataceae.